RNAcentral lists this ribosomal RNA (253 nucleotides) under uncultured bacterium. Its description in RNAcentral is "partial 16S ribosomal RNA". It matches the Rfam family "Bacterial small subunit ribosomal RNA", at positions 524 to 776 of the family's 1533-position model. The record is from RNAcentral.
UACGGGGGGGGCAAGCGUUGUUCGGAAUUACUGGGCGUAAAGGGCGCGUAGGCGGCCUGCUAAGUCGAACGUGAAAUCCCUGGGCUCAACCCAGGAACUGCGUCCGAUACUGGUUGGCUUGAAUCCGGGAGAGGGAUGUGGAAUUCCAGGUGUAGCGGUGAAAUGCGUAGAUAUCUGGAGGAACACCGGUGGCGAAGGCGGCAUCCUGGACCGACACUGACGCUGAGGCGCGAAAGCUAGGGGAGCAAACGGG